UGGGGAAUAUUGCACAAUGGGCGCAAGCCUGAUGCAGCCAUGCCGCGUGUGUGAAGAAGGCCUUCGGGUUGUAAAGCACUUUCAGCGGGGAGGAAGGCGAUAAGGUUAAUAACCUUGUCGAUUGACGUUACCCGCAGAAGAAGCACCGGCUAACUCCGUGCCAGCAGCCGCGGUAAUACGGAGGGUGCAAGCGUUAAUCGGAAUUACUGGGCGUAAAGCGCACGCAGGCGGUCUGUCAAGUCGGAUGUGAAAUCCCCGGGCUCAACCUGGGAACUGCAUUCGAAACUGGCAGGCUCGAGUCUUGUAGAGGGGGGUAGAAUUCCAGGUGUAGCGGUGAAAUGCGUAGAGAUCUGGAGGAAUACCGGUGGCGAAGGCGGCCCCCUGGACAAAGACUGACGCUCAGGUGCGAAAGCGUGGGGAGCAAACAGG
RNAcentral lists this ribosomal RNA (429 nucleotides) under Chloroflexota bacterium. Its description in RNAcentral is "Chloroflexi bacterium partial 16S ribosomal RNA". It matches the Rfam family "Bacterial small subunit ribosomal RNA", at positions 355 to 776 of the family's 1533-position model. Lineage: Bacteria; Bacillati; Chloroflexota. The record is from RNAcentral.